AAGUUAAUGAGUUCAUUUGCAGUCUUAGAGCACAUUUGGCAGAAGAGCAACAAAUCAAUGGAGAAUAACUGUAAAAUGUGCCCCAGAGCCAAAAGGCACUCAUCAUUUCCCAGGAUUUUCUACAUGACGUGCUCGUUUUGUCCCUUUAGAACAGAGGUGGCUAUUGGAAAGCCAACGGUCAGCAGGAUUUUACUCCAACCAAAGACUCCACCCACUGAUUUGCACUCAACAAGUAGAGGGGAAGGACUCAUCAGUGAAAUCACCUGCUGAGGUUGCAGACUGUUGGCUUCCUCAUAGAACGUGGUUGCCCAUCCCAGCUUUAGAAUGUCACAUGUUGCUACUGCUUCUUAUUGGGCAUUACAUGUCAUGUGAUGUUUGACCAAAAUGUUUAUGUGACACAUGUGCUAGUCUUCAGUAAUCUGAGGUGUAUCAGCCACUGCAGGAAGUGGACAGAAAAAGCUCAUUUCCUAAUUCAUUUCCAGACUAAGAAGAUCAAACAGGGCUGAACCUACCUGCCAGGACAAACAGAUGGUUCCCAGGCUCUCCCUGCUUGAUGACGUACUCUCCCUGCUGUCCGUUCCUGGGUGUUGUAAACUGCCACAGUCCAGAUGAUCUGUGACGCUUCAUACCAAAGGGACCAGAGGCAAAGCAUUUUACCACUGGGAGCAGAAGCAUUCUACAAGAAGCUGACAGACGCACAGCCCUGACAUGUGAGUACCUUAUGGCUAACUUAUUGUAGUUAAAUUUUUGCUCUUUAGCUGCUGGAUUUUUACAAUCUUUUAAAAUCUAAAAAUGUUGCAGGUUUCUGUAGGUGGCGACAUUGUCUUUGUUCAGCAAUGACAGCUUCUGCUAGCCACCCUAACUACUGGGGUUUCCUUCUAUUUCUUCCAAAUGAAUCAUUGUUAAAUGCAUCACUUCUUGUGCAAGACAAUCUUUCUCAAGAAAAACGCUGUUUCAUUCCAUUGAGUUAAAAAACUAAAACCUUUUUUAAAUGGAAGCGAUGCACCAGACAGAUCUCGUGAUUGCUGGACGACCCGUGAUGUAGCAGCGAAAAAACCAAAUGUCCCAGACUCAGCUUGUGUCAAUUAAACGUUAGUGUGUUGCUGAAGCAAGAGGAAAUAUCCCCCCGUCAGCUCUCUGGGGUUUUCUUCAACGAGUUAGAGCCGACUGAACAAAGACCAUUUUCUCUCAUCCAUCUUCUCACAUACAUACACACACAUACACAUCCAGCGUGGUGUGUGUGUGUAGGAUGUAAUUGUGUGAAAAUGACUGAUGUCCUUUGCGUGCGUCUAUGCAAGCGAUGGUGUGACAAAGAAGGAUGAUGAGUGUGUGUGUGUGUGUAUUUAUUUAAUGCAUUUAUUGAAUAGCGUGCAGGUCAGCGUGCGACCUCUGUCCCUCUGGGUCUGCCUGGUCUUUGGGGCGACAGCCGUGAUUGAAAGACUCCAAACCCCUGAGGGCAGCGGCGAAGAAGCGCUCCCAGCUGAUUGAUCAGUUCGGUCGGUGCACUUCAAUGUCGGGAGGAUUUUACAGAACUCCCUGUCGCUCUCUGAUAAGAGCCAGAGCCAGUGACACACGACUCUGAUGUGGAUUAAAGGAGACCGACACUAUCGCCGCUGAGAGGCGAUAACAAGAAACGAAGCACAGUCCCAGUGUGUCAGUCAAACAGAGAACUCCUCCUUCUGAAAUCUUUACUUCAUCGUCCAAGUUUGCAACUGCUUGUAAACUGGAAUAUUUUCUACAUUCCUUUUGUUUAAAAUGUUAUUUCAGGCAAAUGAAUCAGCAACAGAUCAUUUAAAUCUCUUUCUUUCCUCACAGCAAAACAGGGUCGAAACAAACCAUAAAUGUUGGUUUUGUUGAUCCUCUGAUGAAAGUCAACAGCACUGUGGAUGCCUAGAGGAGACCCCCCUCACACACACACUCUAAAAGGAGAAGUCACAAGGGCAAGAACAUACCAGACUUCUUGGGAACUUUCCGUUUCAUGACCCCGACCUUUUGUCCGGGCAUAUUUGCAUUUCUGAGCUCCAAAAGAACAUCCCUCACAAACCUCAGGGAGCCAGAUACAUAUUGACGGUACACUCUGUCUCCAUACAAAACACACUUAUUCAACAUGUGACGUGUGAGGAGAGGCUAACCACUAACGUCUGGCAGCACACAAGCUCUGCGCUGGUUCAGAUUCGGGCAGGGCGGGCAACUCAAGAAGCAGCAGAGAACACUAUGUGAUCUGGCAGGCGACCAUGUUUUCUUUUCCCUCCCUCAUUCAAGAGAACACGUUUGAUGAAGAGGAAACCAAGACCCUGCUCAUAUCUUUACCCACUUAUAACUCGACCUCUGUGCUACACUGUUAUGCAACCCCCCCCCCCCGUCCAAGACCACUGCAGUGGCUGCUGAUGCCGUAAACACGAUGGGAACGCAGCUCCCAGACGAUAACAAGGCACGAGUGGCAGUCCUAUGGGGUUUUUUUUUUCUGCUUUUCCUUCAAGUUUGAUGAUGCAGUACGUGAAGAUAAAAGCGGUGUGAUAACCAUCUCAACUUUUUACCCAACUUUAAUCAGCUCAAAGUGUCUCUGCUGCAACAUGUGUCACCAACACUUUGUUCAGGGUGGUCCAGUGCUCAGAGUGCUUAUUCUGAAACUGAAAGGUCACUUUUGAUUCCUCCAGCAGCUGUCAAAUGGUCUUUAGCAAGACGCCAAACCCCCGAUUAUUCACUCUAAGUGGCUCUGGAUGUUAGCUGCAGCCACACGUAUGAAAUGUAAACUAAAGUCUGGAGUGCAGAUGCUCAAACUCUUGGGGUUUAUAUAAAUGUUGGCUACUGGAUGUGUCAGUACAAAAGAAAUAUUUGUCUUUUUUUUUGGCAAAUUGGACUCCACUGACUAGACUGAGACUUUAUCCAAAACUUGACCUGAUUUCUUAGUGGUGGUAGUUCUGCUAAAAUUUCAACCUUUAUUUAACAAGCCGCACUUUAAAUGUCAGCAUGUAAACUUAAUUUGCACUUCUCAGUCUGAUGGGAGCUGAACUAUAGGUGAACCAAGUGAAAAAGUUUAGAUUCAAAUAUUCAAAAUUCAGAAAAGAUCAUCUUCUAUGAAUAUAUACUACCAAAUGUGGUCCUACAGCUCAAUCAUAAGUAUCGUCCAGUGUGUGUUGCUGUGUUGUG
Siniperca chuatsi (mandarin fish) is the source of this 3150-nucleotide long non-coding RNA. RefSeq lists it as uncharacterized. The transcript is spliced from 5 exons. The record is from RefSeq and is a predicted model, not a curated record. NCBI's taxonomy places the organism in Eukaryota, Metazoa, Chordata, Actinopteri, Centrarchiformes, Sinipercidae.